CGCCCAGUACAAUGCAUCAUGGGAAUGCUGCUUCCGUCUUUUUGAGUGCACCUCUGAUUCGCUGACCAGGAGAGAGUAAAGGAGCAAGAGCGCCAGCGUCGAACCGGCUCCUGGCUCGCGGCUUCCUGCUUCCUGUCCUGUCGGGAGGACCAAAGUGAGCGCGGGAGGAUCCCUGCCCUCCUUUUCCCCACCUUGGCUCAGCCCCGUAAAGACCCUGCUCUUCCCCAGCGGCAGAUGGAGGCCAAGGAGGGCCCGACUUCUGGCUUCCUCAUGGCCCCCUUUCAGGAGCCAGUGACCUUCCGGGAUGUGGCCGUGGACUUCACCUGGGAGGAGUGGAGGGUCCUGGAGCCGGCCCAGAGGGCCCUGCACAGGGACGUGAUGCUGGAGACCUUCCAGAACCUGGUCUCUGUGGGCAUUCCUGUUUCCAGACUGGAUGUGAUCUCCCUGUUGGAGAAGCAAGAAGGAGCCUGGACUCUUGAGAGCAGAGAGUCCAGUGGGUCUCCUCAAGAUUCCCUUAGCAAUGAGAUCAAAUUUGAAACAAGGAGCUCAAGUCUGAUGCAGAACAUUUCUGUAGGAGCAUCGUCCAAGAAGAUACUACCAAAAGACACAGCCUGGAACUGCAAGAUGGAGAAAUCUAAGGAACAUGAUGUUGAUUUAGAAAACCCAAAGGACAUCCUGGAGAGAAGAUUCAGACAAAUAGCAGUCACUCCUAGAACAACUUUUAAUAAAGGAAGUGGAUCUCAGAGUAAUAUAUUUGGGAGAAGAUUUAGCUUUGGACCUGUCCUUGUUUCACUGUGGAGAGGAAUAAUGGGGAGUAGUCUGUAUAAAUAUAAGACACUUGGAAAACAUGUCAAAGAUUUUCCUGCCCUAAUUACUCGUAAUACAUUUUCCUUAGGGAAGAACUUUUUAAAGUAUAUCAAAUGCAAGAAGCCCUUUAGGUACCACUCAGACCUAAUUAAAUUUCAUAGAACACAUGCUGGAGAAAAGCAGCGUAAACAGAGAAAAUGUGCCAAAGUUGCUGGCACAAGGGCAAAUCUCAGUGAUUGUCAGAACAGAGGCAAACAUGAGUGUAAGCAAUAUGAGAAAGCCUUCCGCUACAAAGGAUGCUUGACUAAACCUAAAAGUAUCCAUAUUAGAGAGGAACCUUUUGAAUGUAAUGAAUUGGGAAAAGUCUUCAGGGAGAAGGAACAUUUUGUUCAUUUGGGAAUUCAGACCAGAGUGAAACCCUUUGAAUGUAACAAAUGUGGGAAAGUCUUCCGUGAGAGAGGAAGCUUUAAUAAACAUCAGAGAAUUCAUACUGGAGAGAAGCCAUUUGAAUGUAAUGAAUGUGGGAAGACUUUCAGUGAGAGGGGAAACUUCAAUGUACACCAGAGAAUUCAUACUGGGGAGAAGCCUUUUGAAUGUAAUCAAUGUGGAAAAGCUUUUAGACGAAAGGGAAACCUUAUUCUCCAUCAGAGGAUUCAUACUGGGGAGAAACCUUUUAAAUGUAAUGAAUGUGGGAAAGCUUUUAGCCGGAAGGGAAGUGUUAUUCUCCAUCAGAGGAUUCAUACAGGAGAGAAACCCUUUCCAUGUAAUGCAUGUGGGAAAGCUUUCAGUAGGCAGGAAGGCCUCCAUAGACAUCAAAGAAUUCAUACUGGAGAGAAACCCUUUCUGUGUAAUGAAUGUGGGAAAACCUUUCGAGGUAGAGGACAUUUUGUUGAGCAUCAGAGAACUCAUACUGGAGAGAAACCUUUUCUAUGCAAUGAAUGUGGAGAGGCUUUCAGUACAAAAGGAAGCCUCAAUAGACAUCAAAGUACUCAUACUGGAGAGAAACCCUUUACCUGUAACGAAUGUGGUAAAGCUUUUAGUACAAGGGGAAGCCUCAGUAGCCAUCAAAGCGUUCAUACUGGACAGAAACCUUUUUCAUGUAAUGAAUGUCAGGAAGCUUUUAGUACCAGGGGAAAUCUCAAUAGACACCAAAGAAUUCAUACUGGAGAGAAAACCUUUCCAUGUAAUGAAUGUGGAGAAGCUUUCACUGAGCUGGGAAGCCUCAAUAGUCAUCAAAGAAUUCACACGGGGGAGAAAUUCUUUUCAUGCAAUGAAUGUGGGAAAGCUUUUAGCCAAAAGGGAAACCUUAUUCCCCAUCAGAGGAUUCAUACUGGGGAGAAACCCUUUCAAUGUGAUGAAUGUGGGAAAGCUUUUAGCUGGAAGGGAAGUGUUAUUCUCCAUCAAAAGAUUCACACUGGUGAGAAACCAUUUCAUUGUAAUGAAUGUGGGAAAGCUUUUAGCCGUAAGGGAAGUGUUAUUCUCCAUCAGAGGAUUCACACUGGGGAGAAACCAUUUCGUUGUAACGAAUGUGGGAAAGCUUUUAGCCAAAAGGGAAGCCUUAUUCUCCAUCAGAGGAUUCAUAGUGGUGAGAAACCCUUUCCAUGUAAUGAAUGUGGGAAAGCUUUCAAUUCAAGAAAAAAAUAUAAAAGACACCAAAGAAUUCAUACUGGUGAGAAAACAUUUUCAUGUAAUAAAUGUGAGGAAGCUUUCACUGAGCUGGGAAGCCUCAAUAGACAUCAAAGAAUUCAUACUGGAAAGAAAUCCUUUUCAUGUACUGAAUGUGGGAAAGCCUUUAUUUACAGGGCAAACUUCAUUGCACAUCAGAGAAGUCAUACUGAAGCGAAACCAUUUACAUGUAGUGAAUGUGGGAAAGCCUUCAUUUGGAGAGGACAAUUUAUUGCACACCAGAGAAGUCAUAUUGUAGAAAAGCCCUUUGUAUGUAAUGAAUGUGGAAAAGCCUUCAGUUACAGGGCAAACUUUAUUGCCCAUCAGAUACUUCAUACUGGAGAAAAACGUUUUCCAUGUAAGAAAUGUGGAAAAGCCUUUAGUGUGAGAGAAAACCUUAUUGCACAUCAGAGAACUCACAUUGGAGAAAAACCCUUUACAUGUAAUGAAUGUGGGAAAGCCUUCAGUGUAAGGGGAUACUUUAUUGAACAUCAGAUGACUCAUACUGGAGAGAAACCCUUUCCAUGUAAUGAAUGUGGGAAAGCUUUCAGUAAACGGGGAAACCUCAAAAGACAUCAAAGAGUUCAUACUGGAGAGAAACCCUUUUCAUGUAAUGAAUGUGGGAAAGCCUUUAGUCAAAAGGUCAAACUUAUGACCCAUCAGAGUAUUCAUACUGGAGAGAAACCCUUUUCAUGUAAUGAAUGUGGGAAAGCAUUUAACAGGAAGGACUCUCUCAUCAGUCAUCAGAGGAUUCACUCGAGAGAAACCAUUUAAAUGUAAUGAAGGAAAGCAUUUAGGAAGAGGACAAAUCUUAACCAUCAGAAAACACAGUGGACUAAUCCUUUGCUUAUAAUAAAUGUGGGAAAGUUUUCAGCAAGAUAGGAACAUUUAAUAUGCAUCAGAGAAUACAUAGUGGAGGGAGACACUUUUCAUAUAAUUGUGGGAAAGCCUUCAAUUGGAGAACAACCUUUAUUCAUCAGAGGACUCGUACUGGAGAGAAACUUGUGUCAUGCAUGAAUGUGGGGAAAGUCUUCAACAGUUACAUUUUAAAACCAUCAGAGAACUCGAAGAAUUUAUACCUUAGAAGAAACUUUUGUAGUGAAUCUAGGUACUGCUUCAGAUGUAAGGCAAGUCUUGCUAGACAUAGAAAACUCAGACAGGAGAGAAAUCCUUCGAUUAUAAUGAAUGGAAAAGAGUUCAUCAAAACCUCAUGUCGGAGAGAAUGGGAUAUAGUGAAUUAAUCAAGCAUUAAGUUUACAUCAAUAUCAGACAAUGUGCUAAGUACUGGGGAUUCAAAGAGUCACUAAGAUCAGGAGAAUAUGGUGACCAAUCAAACUUACAUAGGUUCUGGCAAAACAGUUGAUAAAGUCUCAUGAUGACGCUCAUAGAAUUGAGCUAGACAAUAGUACAAUCACAUAGAUCUCAAAAUGGAUUUAAGGUCAGUUCUUAAGAGUAGUCACUAAUGAUUUAAUUUCAUAUUAUACAAAAAAUCCUGCAAUGAUGGGUGAUUAUGAUUUCUUGACCUACCCUGCUGCCGCCAUCUUUCCUUUGGUAUAAGUAGCUCUUGGACUUGGUGUUGAAUGGUUCAGGGUGCCAGUGAGGACCCUUUAGAGGCUGAACCUUUAGUACCAGUUGGAUAGUUGCAUUGAUCUGGGCCUGGGAGUGAAAGGUCCCACUUAAAGUGAUCUUGUUUUUGAGGUCCCAGGUCCCAGCUUUCUUAGAAGGUGAAGGUCUUGAAGAAUAUCCCCAGGAAGAAGGAUCCAACUAGGAGGAGACUCCUGAGACCUUCCACUACAGCUUGAAGGCGAUACUUGAUGGGCAGGAGCAAACCCUACAAGAAACUGGUGGCAGAGUGAUUCCUGCCAGGCCUUUGCCAUGGAGCACGUGGCCCUGCUGCCUGGGGAGAGAGCAAGCCCUAGAACAGAGAUUGAGGUCACCACCAUCAUGGAAGGUGCCCAUCAGAAGGUUCCCUUUGGAAGUUUUCCUGGGCUCCCGUUUAAGUAUCUCCCUGCUCCGAUUCCCCAAGGCCCAUCACACUGUCAAGUUUCCUAAAUGGGACAUAAGGACCCAGCAGAAUUUGGCCUCCUUGUCCCUGAAGGAAAAGUGAAGAUUUUGAAGAAUGAUCUGUGCUUGUGGGGAUUCAUCAUGGAUUUGCCUCAGUCCUGGAUCCCUUGUGCAGACUGUGCAAGUGGGACAUGAGCCGGAUGCAGCACGAUUCCUUUAGCGAAGACACUGGAUUUGAAGUCAAGAACUUGAACAUGGUGCAGAGCAUUUGCCUGAGAAGAGGCUCCCAAAUGACCAUUGCGACUUGAACGAAGCCAGGGAAUAUGAUAGGAAUUUGGAGAAAGAGAAGAGAGCCCAUGCAGAGAAGGGACCAUUCCCAGAACGACUUUGAGUAAUGGGAAUGUGCCUCAGUGUAUGGCAAUUGGGAAGAGCUUCAGCCUUGGGCCAGUCUUUGUUGGAACUAUGGAGAAAAGUCUGGAUAAAUAUGACAAGUAGAAAGAGCUUGAGAGGUUUUCAAACCUAAUUAUAUAUAAUAUAUUCUCUUUAGAGAAGAACUUUUCUAAGUAUAGCAAAGGCAAGAAACCUUUCGAAGAUCACUUAGAUUUAUUUAAGUUUCAUAGAAUA
RNA transcript from Sarcophilus harrisii (Tasmanian devil), 5100 nucleotides. It is a transcript of the gene named zinc finger protein 271-like, with no coding region annotated. The record is from RefSeq and is a predicted model, not a curated record. The transcript is spliced from 8 exons. Lineage: Eukaryota; Metazoa; Chordata; Mammalia; Dasyuromorphia; Dasyuridae.